UGUGAGCUGCCAUGUGGGUGCUGGAAAUUGAACCCAGGUCCUCUGGAAGAGCAACUCGUGCUCUUAAUCGCUGAGCCAUCUCUCCAGACCCUUAUUAUUGUUUUCUUAUGGGUAAAAUUUUAUUACCAUCGUGUUUUGAACGAACUUUUUUUUUUUAAAUCAAAGGACAUAUUCCUGAGUUCUAGUUUUCCUCCUGUAAAGUUUUUGACUCCACCUAGUCGCACAGUCCUUCGGCAGGCAGGCAGCGACGACAUCCAUGUACUCUGCCUUAUUCUUUGGUAAAGCACCAGUAGCCUUUAAGAUGGGUUUGUCAGUUUUCAGUCACAUCACCUACACCUAUGGCAGGCUCUGUGGACCGCAGAAAUGACCUUCUUGGACCCCGAGGACAGCUUUACUCAGAUCUUUUUGGUCUCCGAGUUGCGGGUGAUCCCUGAGGUAUAGCUACAUGAGGUUCGUGCCGACUUCUCCCUACAGCAGUCCAAUAACACCCUCAAGCAUGAUUCUCACAUUGCAAAACCUUGCCGAUGUGAUGCUCUGCUGGGUUUUCGUGCCUCGGAUGCGCGAACUGUCUAAGGCAGAUUGCCUCUGCAGCGACGAACGGCUCUGUUCGCUUCUUAAAUCUGUAGGGAUCAUGAAAGACCACUUUCCUGGAUGGUUUUAUGUCAAGGCAGUUAUUUUUCAAAUCCUCCGAAGGCUCGAGGUUCUCCAUGAAGCAACAAGGAUACCCAGAUUUCCUGCCUGCUACGCUUUGGGUUGUGUGCGCCACGCAUCUAAAGAACAGAUUAGGAUUGUGGCCCGUGGUUGGUGUUUGUGUACGUGGGGUAAGCCAUAGCGUAAACUGAGGUUGAGAAAGGCAGUCCCGGGGAAGGGAAGUCUGAGUCAAAUCUUGGAGGACACUGUGUUGACAGCGUUGUGGGUAAGCAACAGAGAGAGGAGGGAAAGGGAGAGAGUGGAUAGACUCAAAGGCCAUGAGAUGCGAGGCUCACUGGUGUUAGAGGCUGGGACACAUAGCUAACUACAGGACCCAAAUGGUAGAAACAGGGCUAGGGAGGCCACAGGGUCCAAGCUAAAGGUGAGAUUUUACUCUGAAGUCAUGCCAAUUCACAACUAGUCUUCGUUAAGUCCAGGUACCCUCCAUUGCGAUUUUAGCUUUGCAAAUGUAGGCCAAGUGGCAUCCAUUGUUCUGGGAUUAGUGAAUAAAACCAGAGUCACAGACAGACAGCUCACAAGCAGGGAAAGGCUCUCAGAUAAGUUAGUUUUGACUGCUUUUCAAUUUUUUUUUUAAGUAAAACUGAACUUUAGGCAAGAAUAUUUUGUAUGUAAAACUUGAGAUCAUCAUUUCCUCCUGGAAGAAAAAAAGAAAGAAGGAAAGGAAGAAAGAAAGAAAGGAAGGAAGGAAGAAAGGAUUUGGCAACUGUGAGUGCCAAGCCCUAGCUUGAGUGACGCUAGCUAGCUGCUGGCCCCAGGAGGCAUUUGAGCUUUUGACCCUCGGAAUAAAAGAACAUUUUGUGUCUAGAUCCAAACUCCCACUCCUGGUUCCAGGUAGCAGCAAGAGAUUGUUACUGAGGAAAGCAGUUUUCCUGGGAGGAAAGACACUGAUCCCAACUCCCCUCCCCCAAGAAGCCUACAUUAUGGGUGGGCAAGUCAUGCAGGGUGCAUUCAAGAGGCGUUGGUCACAGCCCAGUGACAAAGAACAGCGGGGCUCCUAACGCAACAGCUAAUGCCCAUCCCGGUUCGGGCUCAGUUUCUAAGAUAACCUGGCCAUCUGCCACCCAGUAGGGGGGUCCAAGUGACCAGUUGAAAAAAAAGUCACAAAAUUCAGUCCCGCUUGUACCCCACAUUUUCGGAGCAGGAUAUGCAAGCCAUGUACCCAAACCAAACAUUUUAAGCAGAGAACACAGGUCUCAUUUUUACAAUCCUGUGAGAUUUGAUUACUCCAGGCACAGAAGAUGGUUUGAAGUGAGCAAAGUCAAAACUAGUUAGGAAGACAUUUUCUUCCAAGAACAGAAAUAACGACGCAUGACAAAGCAGUGUGUGUGGCUGUGAAGACAGAUCAUGAGUUUCCAAGACACAAGUGUGGGAGACACGGCCUGUCUCUGUGGUCUGUGAGGCACAGGAUCUCGGGAAGAGGUCUGGGAUAAUCCCUGAUUUCUAACUUGAGCCUCUUGAUCCUCCUACCAAAAUCAGCAUAAUCAUCAUCAUCAGAGGAGGGCGGCUUGGAUCGCUUAAGGCAGAGCCACUUAAUAGGCGAUCACUUACCACUCAAGCUGGGCCCCACAACAUGCCAGGCCGCGGGAAAGCAGAAUCCAGAGAUGGAGAUGGGACAUCGUUAGUUCGUGCGCGUGGGGUGUGACAGAGCACUUGCACCCUAUGCCUAGGGUGAAGCCUGACUUUCAAGGUAUAAAAGCUAAACACAUCUUUACAUUUUUUUUCCUUUUUAGCUUGAGCUAGGUUGAGUUGGACUUCCAUCACUAAUAGCCAAAAAAAGUCAGUCAAAAUAAAAACAAAUGUCUUUUGAAUGGUAAGGAGAGUGAAAGAAACUUAAUUCACGGAAUAUAAGGUGAUUGUAAUCUGUUACUAUUAUCAGCACUAUUUUGAUUUCUCACCACUUAUUCGUGACAACUAUUUCACAUUCACAAUUGUGUUUUUCUUUUAAUAUUUAAUUAGUUAAUUUUUGAGAAAACAUCUGACUACAUAUCCUUGGCUCUCCUGGACAUGAUGUAGACUAGGUUGACCUCCUGAACACACAGGGAUCUGUCUACCUCUGCUAGGAUAAAAGGCAUGGACCAUCAUGCCUAAAUAUAAUUAAAUCUGGCUCAUGGGCCAGAUAAGACCCUCAGAGAAGGUCCUGAUUGCUUUUUAAAAUUUUUUUCUUAAAUAAAACUACAUUUAAAAUGAUAAUAUUUGUUGGGCAGUGAUGUCACAUGCCUUUAAUCCCAGUACUGGGGAGACACAGGCAGGAGGAUCUCUGUGGGCUUGAGGCCAGCCUGUUCUACAGAGCAAGUUCCAGGGCAACCAGGGUACACAGAGAAACCUUGAAAAACAAAAACAAAUACAACAUUUUUUAUCUAAAACUCCUCUUGGGGACAGGCAGGACAUGGCAACAGUGAAUGCCAGUUCCUACGUAGCCCUAGCAAACGCACGCAUGUAUGUGUGUGCGCAUGUUUGGGAACAGAUGCAAACAUGUGGAGAUCAGAUAGCAUGCAGGAGUCUCUGUUUUCUCUGGUCAGAAGUUCUCUGAGAUGAGUUGGCUCUGUCAGAAUGGAAUCUUCCAAAUCACUGAUCCUGUGAAGGGCCCCACAGAUAGCAUAGAUUUUAAACUGCCCAUCAACCCCGCCUGGGAUCUUGUCAGCCACAUUAUCUGAUGGAGGCCUAGGCCUUGCAAGCACUAUCUGUUACAUUUGCCAAUAGAGCAUUUCCUAGUACGUGCAGCACAUGUACUGGGCUUGGCCAUACCAUUUGCAUGUAGAGGCCAGGUCUUCAGCCCCUUAAGUUCAAAACCAAGAGCUUCUUUGUCAGGGGUGGUGGCAGAGGUGGGUGGGGGAGUGGGAGGGGUGUUGAGAGAGGGCCUCACCAAAUAGCAAUGUCUGGUUAAUGACUUGCUAUUUACACCGAGUUGUCUUAGAAGUCACAGUAAUUCACCUGUCUCAGCCUCCCGAGCGUUGGGAUGACAGGCAGGCUCCUGAGGGAGAUUUUAGGAUGUGGUCUAGCAGUAAACACAGAUACAUCUGACCAGUACUUCGGAACCACAGAGACUUGGUAUACUGGGGUUUAGUCAGCACUGUGAGAUGUCCGGUCCUGUCUAGUGCUGGUGUCCUAACCCUGACAUCACCAUCUCACUCCAGCUCCCUCCCCCCCACUGCACAUCCUGUCUAACUCUUACCCCUUGUGUUCACCACUGUCUCUCUCCUAGACAACGGCAAAGGAAGGGAAUAAUGCAGAGAGAAUCCGAUUUUUAGAAAUGAAAGAAGAUAAAAGGUCUAAGUUUAUGGCAGCUGUGGUUUCAAUAAAUCAAACAUCGUUGGAUUGUCAUUGUUUUGGUGUGUGUGUGUGCGCGUGCGCGCGUGCGUGCGCGCGUGUUGCUUGAGACAAGGUCUUACUCUAGCCAUAGCUGCCCUGGAUGGAACUCACUGUGUGGACCAAGAUGGCUGCUAAUUCAAAUCACCUGUCUCUGUUUCUCAAGCCCUGGGACUAAAGGCAUGUGACACCAGGCCCAGCCUUUGUUUUGUUUUGAAAUAAGUCUCUGGUAGCCCAGGCCACCUUCCAGUCAUGGUGAUCACCCUCUUGUAUAGCUUUCCAUGGGCUGAGAUUACAAGCAUGCACUACUUGCUUAAAUUAAACAUGUUUUGCACUAGACAAGACUGGACACCUCAUAGUAUUGACUAAAUCCUAUUAUACUCAAGUCUCUCUGGAUCCUUGGUACUGGUCAGGUGUGUACCUACGCUAGGGAUGGAACACUGGUCUUUACUAUGCUGGGAUGGAACACUGGUCUUUACUAUGCUGGGAUGGAACACUGGUCUUUACUAUGCUGGGAUGGAACACUAGUCUUUUCCACGCUCGGCAAUGCUUUCCCACUGAGCUCCAUCCUCACCCCCACUGAAAUAUCAUCUAAGAUCUUUUGUUCUGAUGAAAGCAGUACAGUAAGACUGCAACCUGCAUCAGCUCACCACUGCCUGUAACAAGCCACCGUGAGUACAGUAGCUUGAAGUGGGAAGCAUGACUCUCCCAUCUGUCUGCUCAUUUGCUCUGCUGGUGAGCCUGCUCAGCUGGGACCAGGCAGCCUAGGACAGCCUCUCUCGCUGCUAUGAUGGCCAGGCCGAAUAGCAUGAGCUGGGUUAGCUCAACUGUGCUCCGUGUGAUCUGUUAACCUCCAGCAGGCCAGCCCAGAGGGGAUCACAUGGUGGUAGCAGGGUUCCCAGAUCAGCAACAAGGCCAGCCUCACUGUACAUGCAUUUUUCUUAAAGGCUCUGUUUAAAUCACAUUUGUUAAUACUCCAUUAGCUAGAAAGGUCAUGUGGUCAUCCCAGAGUUAAGAGUCAGGUAAGAUCGGCUGGGUGGUGGUGGCGCAUGCCUUUAAUCCCAGCACUCAGGAGGCAGAGGCAGGGGAUCUCUGUGAGUUUGAGACCAAGCCUGGUCUACCGAUCGAGUUCCAGAGAAACCCUGUCUCGAAAAAACAAACAAAAAAAGAGUCAGGUAAGUUCUACUUGAAGGAAAGUCAUACCACAUACAAGAAGUAUAUAAAACGAGGAUUUUGUUGACAUUUUUCUUACAAUCUGCUUUACUGCAAAUAGUGAGUAUUUAUACCUAGGCAUGAUGGUGCAUGUCUCUAUAAUCCCAGCACUUGGGAGGUAGAAGCGGAGUGUCAGAAGUCCAAGGUUAUCCUUGCCUAUAUAACAAGAGCCAGGCCAUCCUGGACUAUGUGAGGCUUUAUCUCCAAACAAACAAAAUAUGCACACAAGUAAAUAAACGGAAAGGAAAAAAAGAGGAGAGGCAAAGCCUUGCUGUGUGAGUACCCAUGUGUUCGGAUGCUUCUGGAGGUCAGAGGGCAGGUGGAAGAGGUCAGAUCUCUCUUCCCACCAUCGUGGUCUCAGAGACCGAAUGCAGGCUGUCUGGCUGGGCAGCAGAUGCCUUUAUCUACUGAGCUGUCUCCACAGACCAGCUUGUUAAAACAGACGUGUUUCCAAAGAGAUCAGGCGAUGAGCAUGUCUGUAAACCGAGGUGCAUUGAAGAAAACACUAAUUGUUUAAAGAGACCUAAUUGUUUAAAGUUGCUCUUGAAGCUGCUGACACGGCUCAGCGGUGAAGAGCACCUGUUGCUCCUGCAGGGGACCCAGGACUGGUUCCACGCACCUCUGUGGUAGUUCCAGUUCGAGGGGAUCUGAUGUCCUCUUCUGGCCUCAGUGGGGACUGCACAGAUAUGUAACAUCCAGGUGAAAUACUCGUGCACAUAAAGUAAAAAUAGGUGUUUUGUUCUCAACUGAAUUCUUGGAGAAGUAAAUAAUUGCUUCUUGGUUGUCCACUCUCUCUCCUCACAAUGAGAGGGCUGAAGAGAGAAGGUUGAGAAGGGGUGGUAUGGCGUGAGGUGUCUGGAGGCCAGGAGGAAGGGGCACCCUUCCCGAGCACGUGGAAUCACUUCCUCCUGGAAGGCUUUCUCACUUCCCGUCAUGAGGCUGUGAGUCCGUGUGAGCCCUCUUUUCCUCUGUCCUACUUAGUCCCACACCUUUGGUUGUUUACCCGCCUUUUUUCUUACUAAUAAGUGACAAAAGAAAAAGGACACAGAGUUUAGGGUUAAGGAGGAGAGGGUGAACCUGGGUGAAGUUAGGGCAAAUAGGAUAAAAAUACAUUAUAUUGAAUUCUCAAAGAAUUAGUAAAAUAGGGUUUUAAAUUUUUACCAGUGCACAUGCGUUGGCAUGUGUGUACCACAGUGGUGCGUGUGCAGAGGCUGCAGGACAACUAACAUGAGUUGGCUUUUUUCCUUCCAACAUGUGGAUCCUAGAAAUCACACCCAGCUCUUCAGUCUUGGUGGCAAGUGCUAUGACCCACUAAGCCACCCCUCUGACCCUGUUCACCGGCGUUGCCUUCCCACAGUAUUUAUAAACUCAAGGAGGCAAGAAGAGAGACUGUGUCUCAUUCCCCUUAGCUUUAAGUCACCCUUACCACCCACAGAGCAAAUGAAACAACCACAAAGCUUGUCCUCUCUUAUCUCUUUAGAGUGUGUUACAACAAAACGAACAAAAACUUUGGGUGGGGUGUUUCAGGUUUUAUCCCAGCCCUAGGAAGGCAGAGCGGAGGAUGGUCAUAAUCCCAAAACCAGCCAGGCCUUCGGUGAGUUCCAGGCUAGCCAUGAACGUGACAUUUUAUCUUCACAAAAAGGAAAAGAAGAGUGGGGUUUGGGGCUUGGGAGAUUGCUCAGUCGGUAGAGCACUGGCCUGAGGUGGGGGAGACCGUGGCUUUGAUCCUCCACAUCACAUAAAACGCUCCUGGUGGCGUAUGCUAUGCCUGUAAUCGCCGUGCUCGGGAAACAGAGGUGGGUGUGAGCGUGUGUCAGGGUUUCAAGGUAAUUUCCAGAAAGCAAAACAAAACACUCAUCUAGUGAUGGUCAUCUGGCAAAGGCUCUUGCUGCCAAGCCUGAUGAUUUGAGUUUGACUCCUAGAACUCACAAGUGGAAAGAGAGAACUUGACUCUCUCAAGUUGCUCUCUGACCACUGCGUAAGCUUCGUGGAAUGUUCCACCCAAGCCUCCCUCCCAAAUAAAUAAUGACAUAGCAAUAAGAGUUUCAAGGUAAGCCUUGGCUCAUAGGGGAUUUCAAAGUCAGCUUGGGCUACAUGAGACACCAUCUUAAGUAAAUAAAUAAAUAGAUCUUGCCCCAUGACUUCAGAGUUAUGUAUACUGAAUCACUUCAUUUUCCCCUCCUAGUGUCAGAUAAGCAGCUGGGCAGUUCCUAUAAACUGAACGGUAAUAUGGUCACAGAGUUCUAAAGUCCAAAGGACAUUAAGGAACCACCUGUUUUUAAGGUAAAGACGCUAGCCCAGAUAAGCUCAGUGACUCACUUUGGACCACACCGAGAGUAAGGGCCAAAUCAGAACUGUCAAAUCAGGGACUCAAAGUCCAGAUUCUAUAACCAAGGUACCUUUGUUAUAAUCGGGCAGGGCGCACACAGGCUUCCUGCUGGGCCAGUGGAAAGAAGGCUCUAUUCCUCAUUGGGUUGUAACUCAUUCAUAAAGGAGUAAAUGAGGGCUGUCUCUUCCCUCAGCAAAGACUGACUGGAAGCAAGUGUCUUGACUCCCACCCGGAAUCCCAGUACUACAAAGGCUGAACCAGGAGGAUAUCGGUCUGUUCCUCCAGCCUUGUGGCCUACCUGCUAAUCGAAGAAGAAUUAAAACAAAACAAGUCCUGUGUGGCCUAGAUUUGGACCAGUGUAUGAGUGUCUGUCCAAUGGGUCUCCAGAGAAGGCAAAGCCAAUGGGGACAGUCUCACUCAACAGGGAACCGUGGACUUCGGGACAGCUGGUUCCGGGUGGCCUGUCCAGCACUCUCUUCUCUCUGUAAUACUGACGAUUCUCUUGGCAGUUUCACAGUCACUCUGUGAGCCAUGCGUGGGACAGGUGUGAUCAUUCCCAGAAACCCCAUUUUUUUCUUGAAUAUUUUCCCCUAAAAUUCUUUGGGAGCUGAUGUUUCUCAGAAUUCUUGUCUGGGGAGGCAGCUGUCACUCCAGACCCCGGUGACCGUUCUGAUUCCGUGCUGAUGGGAUCGGAGGCAGACCACCCCUGUUUCUGUAAAUAUAUUUUGAGCGAGAUUUUUGUUCUUGAAAAUGUGUACCUAUGUCAAUCACCUUUUAGUAAAGACAGGAUGUACCUGGCUCGAUAUUUGGAGGAAGGGGAAAACUUGUUUGUUAGUAGGGAAAAACAUGUUUGUUUUGAUGUAUAAGUAAAGAUGGCCGAAGCUAUUCAGGGCUGGCCACUCUUGUGAAACUCA
Molecule: long non-coding RNA, 8472 nt
Organism: Mesocricetus auratus (golden hamster)
Lineage: Eukaryota; Metazoa; Chordata; Mammalia; Rodentia; Cricetidae
Exons: 2
Source: RefSeq, a predicted model, not a curated record